Molecule: ribosomal RNA, 496 nt
Filed under: uncultured bacterium
Lineage: Bacteria
Description: partial 16S ribosomal RNA
Rfam family: Bacterial small subunit ribosomal RNA
Source: RNAcentral
GAUGAACGCUGGCGGCGUGCCUAAUACAUGCCAGUCGAGCGAACGGACGAGAAGCUUGCUUCUCUGAUGUUAGCGGCGGACGGGUGAGUAACACGUGGAUAACCUACCUAUAAGACUGGGAUAACUUCGGGAAACCGGAGCUAAUACCGGAUAAUAUUUUGAACCGCAUGGUUCAAAAGUGAAAGACGGUCUUGCUGUCACUUAUAGAUGGAUCCGCGCUGCAUUAGCUAGUUGGUAAGGUAACGGCUUACCAAGGCAACGAUGCAUAGCCGACCUGAGAGGAUGAUCGGCCACUGUGGAGCGGAGACGCGCUCCAGACUCCUACGUGAGGCAGCAGUAGGACAUCUUCCGGAAGGGGCGAAAGCCUGACGGAGACACGCCGCGUGAGUGAUGAAGGGCUUCGGAUCGUAAAACUCUGUUAUUAGGGAAGAACAUAUGUGUAAGUAACGGUGCACAUCUGGACGGUACCUAAGCAGAAAGCCACGGCUAACUACGU